RNAcentral lists this ribosomal RNA (487 nucleotides) under uncultured bacterium. Its description in RNAcentral is "bacterial SSU rRNA". It matches the Rfam family "Bacterial small subunit ribosomal RNA", at positions 28 to 510 of the family's 1533-position model. The record is from RNAcentral.
GAUGAACGCUAGCGGCAGGCUUAACACAUGCAAGUCGAGGGGUAGAGGAAGCUUGCUUCCUUGAGACCGGCGCACGGGUGCGUAACGCGUAUACAAUCUACCUUUUACAGAGGGAUAGCCCCAGAGAAAUUUGGAUUAAUACCUCAUAGUAUUUUCGGAUCGCAUGAUUUGAUUAUUAAAGUUCCAACGGUAAAGAUGAGUAUGCGUCCAUUAGCUAGAUGGUAAGGUAACGGCUUACCAUGGCAAUGAUGGGUAGGGGUCCUGAGAGGGAGAUCCCCCACACUGGUACUGAGACACGGACCAGACUCCUACGGGAGGCAGCAGUGAGGAAUUUUGGACAAUGGGCGCAAGCCUGAUCCAGCAAUGCCGCGUGCAGGAUGAAGGCCUUCGGGUUGUAAACUGCUUUGUACGGAACGAAACGGUGAGCUCUAAUACAGUUUGCUAAUGACGGUACCGUAAGAAUAAGACACCGGCUAACUACGUGCCA